This 1392-nucleotide long non-coding RNA is filed under the name Sus scrofa (pig). RNAcentral's name for it is "lncRNA (ENSSSCG00040052463.1)". The record is from RNAcentral. Lineage: Eukaryota; Metazoa; Chordata; Mammalia; Artiodactyla; Suidae.
UUUUUUCUUUCUUUUUUUUUUUUUUUUUUUUUUUGUCUUUUUACCAUUUCUUGGGCUGCUCCAGCAGCAUAUGGAGGUUCCCAGGCUAGGGCAGCCCUAGAAAAGGCAAAAAGACCAAAAAAAAAUAAAAAAUUAAAAAAUAAAGUCUUUUUCAUGGAGAUUGGUAAUCUCCAGAUUACUUAGCUAUUUUUCUGAGGCGUUUUGAGUUUUCAUCUGGGUCAUAUUUCUCUGUCUUUUAAUUUUGUAUAGUCUCCUUUUUGCAGACAAUGGGCUUGUAGGCUCUCUUGCUUCUGAUCUCUGCCCCCUUGUGGAUGAAGUUGGUACAGGGGCUUGUUGCAGUCUUCCUGGUAGGGGGGACUGGUGCCUGCCCACUGAUAGGUGGAGCUGAUUCUUGUCCCUCUGAUAGGUGGGGCUUUGUCUCUGGGUGUGAUUAGAGGAACUGUGUGCUUAGGACUUUAGACAGCCUCUUUGCUGAUGGGUACGACUGUGUUCCCACCUAGUGUGUUUUUUGGCCUGGAGCUUCUUAGCUCUGGUGGGUGGGGCCAGAUUUUUCCAAAUGAUUCAUGCCAGUGAUCAUUCCUGAAACCUCUGCCUCCAAUGUCCUUCCCCCACAGCAAGUCACAGCUGCCCCCCUGCUUUCCCAGGAAAUACUCUGAUACUUGCAGGUAGAUCUGACUCAGAUUCACAUGGAGUCUCUGCUUUGCCCUGGGACCCAGUGCACAUGAAACCUGUGUAUACCCUCCAAGACCAGAGUCUCUGUUUCCCCCAGUUUUAUGGAGCUUCUGUACACAAACCCUGCUGGCCUUCAAAGCCAAAUGUUUUAGGGGCUCCUCCUCCUAAUGCCAGACCCCCAGGCAUGGGAACCUGGCAGGGGCUCAGAAUUCUCAUUCAUGCUGGAGAGCCUCUGCAAUAUAGUUAUCUGUAGGUUGCCCACCCCAUGGGUCUGGGAUUGCUUAUAUCCUGAAAGUGCCCCCCCCCCACGACCAUCUCGAUAUGGCUUCUUCUUUGUCUUUGGGUGUAGGAUGUGUUUUUUGGUAGUUUCCAGUCUAUUUUGUGGAUGGUUAUUCAGCAGUUAGUUGUAAUUUUGGUGUUUUCAUGAGAGAAGGUAGCUUAAGUCCUUCUACUCUGCCAUCUUUAUUCCCUUUCCUAUAUGUUUUAGAUGUACUCUGAGAUUUUACUUCAGAAAUUAUAAUACCAGUAUAAAUAUUUUUUUAUUGAAGUAUGGGUCAUAUAUAUUGUUGCAUUACUUUCAGGUUUACAACAAAGUAAAUCAGAUAUAUAUACAUAUAUAUCAUAUAUAUAUAUAUCAUAUAUAUGUGUAUGUAUAUAUAUGUUUUUCAUAUUCUUUUCCAUUAUAGGUAUUACAAGAUAUUGAAUAUAGUUCUAUGUGCU